AAAGGAAAAAGGCAAAACCAUCGAAAGGUGGUGACGCAAAGCUAAAGGGGCUACCGCAACUCCGUUGCCAGGCCAGCCAGCUGCCCGA
Molecule: non-coding RNA, 88 nt
Filed under: Carboxydocella thermautotrophica DSM 16521
Lineage: Bacteria; Bacillati; Bacillota; Clostridia; Eubacteriales; Clostridiales Family XVI. Incertae Sedis
Description: Carboxydocella sporoproducens DSM 16521 c-di-GMP-I riboswitch aptamer
Rfam family: c-di-GMP-I riboswitch aptamer
About the family: GEMM was predicted in a large-scale screen for bacterial structured RNA regulatory elements. Genes associated with GEMM are involved in a diverse array of functions, including chemotaxis regulation, signal transduction, secretion and chitin.
Source: Rfam by way of RNAcentral